CACGGCUACUUAAAAUCAGUUCUCACAGAUCUUAGGCAGAUUAAAAAUUAAAGGUUUUAAAAAUGGCUGGCGAAUUGUCGGAAUGUGAAAGAAUCACUAUCCUCAUGAUGCGUGGAUGGGGUGAUAACGAGCGGUCGUACGCUGCUGUCGCUCAAUUAUUUAAUGAGACGUAUCCGAAUCGUCGAAUUAAUAAGUCCACUGUCUUAAAAACAAUGGAACGUUUCAGAGAAACUGGUAGCCUAAACAAUCGCUCUAAAUCAGGGAGACCUGCCAUUAACGAAGAAAAACAACUUGAUGUUCCGCAGACAUUUAUUGAAGGUCGCAAUUCUACUAUUAACAGAGCCGCUCAAACUCACGAUAUUGGUCCCAAGUCUGUUUGGAGAAUUUUAAAGAAAAACAAGUUCCAUCCAUACAAAUUACAAUAUGUUCAAGAAUUGCAAGACGGAGAUGUGGAGCGUUGUAUAGGUUUCUGUGAAAGAAUGAUGGCACUAAUAGAUGUCCGGCCCAUGUUCCCUUAUCAAAUUGUUUUUACAGACGAGGCAACUUUCACGUUAACGGUAGAAGUUAAUAAUCAAAAUUUUCGUUUCUGGUCAGAUGAGAAUCCGAAUUGGGUGCGGGAAACUCACAUACAAUACCCACAAAAAAUAAAUGUAUGGUGUAGAAUAAUAGAUGGCUACUUAAUAGGACCGUUUUUUUCUUUUUGUGAAGAAAAUCUGAACGCUCAAAGCAUGAUGGAGCUCCUGCUCAUUUUGGUUUAGGGCCACGUCAAAUUUUAAAUGAGACUUUUCCAUUACGAUGGAUAAGAAGAAGGAACAGGAAUGAGGGAGGAGAGGAUUGGCCACCUCGGUCACCAGAUCUAACUCCUCUUGAUUAUUAUCUAUGGGGACACCUGAAGAGCCUACUGUAUUGCCGGAUCAGGAUGAGAAUUGGGACUUUUUAAAAAAAGGUACCACAAAUUUCUCGUUUUCUUUACUUAAAUUGCAAAAUUUAUUGUUAAAUAUGCGUCAAAUCGAUUUUGAAUCAUGAAUUUUGAAAGAGCACAU
This 1043-nucleotide unclassified non-coding RNA is filed under the name Harpegnathos saltator (Jerdon's jumping ant). RNAcentral's name for it is "uncharacterized LOC112588652, transcript variant X1". Lineage: Eukaryota; Metazoa; Arthropoda; Insecta; Hymenoptera; Formicidae. The record is from RNAcentral.